UAGAGGAUAGUAUAAUGGAGUGCUAAAGAUUUUGAGUCUUUACGUGCAGGUUCGAGUCCUGUUCUUCUAA
RNAcentral lists this transfer RNA (70 nucleotides) under Uta stansburiana. RNAcentral's name for it is "tRNA-Gln". It matches the Rfam family "tRNA". Rfam says of the family: Transfer RNA (tRNA) molecules are approximately 80 nucleotides in length. Their secondary structure includes four short double-helical elements and three loops (D, anti-codon, and T loops). The record is from RNAcentral. Lineage: Eukaryota; Metazoa; Chordata; Lepidosauria; Squamata; Phrynosomatidae.